GACGCCACCUGCUGGAGGGAGAUAUAUUCUCCGCCGUGUUGGGCCUCUCUCUCUCUCUCUCUCUCUCUCUCUCUCUCCGUCUCCGUCUCCGUCUCCGUCUCCGGUAAUAUCUCUGUGGCCGUCUGACGCAGUUCAGACAUUUUGGGUAGAUUAUUCAACCACACCGGGCCGAAGACUAACAAGAAACUGAACAAAAGCCGUUUUUUACAACCACAACAACAAACAUCGUUCAAUAUGGGUCCACCAGGAGACAACCCACGUCGCGUGUCCUCUGAAAGAACGGAGGAUUUCAGUUGGUUUGUCCAUUUAUCUUGACAUGGCAUGCAAAGGGUUAGUUUUGGUGGUUGUGACGACUGAAGAGAAAACGCAGAUAAAUAGCUAACACCUCCCCACAAAAAUCAGCGUGUGAAAGAUAUUUAUGACUGCGUUUAUUGGUGUCGGGUAAAUAAAAUCAAGUUGGUUCUCUCGACGGGAAUCCUUAACAUCAUGAUGAUAUUGGAAGGAAAUGUUCAUGUAAAAUGACAGGAUACAACCGUUAAAUCUGUUCCGAUAUUAAAUAGCAAACCAGUUGGAAAUGUAAAAUGGUUAGAUGUCUCUCAGCUGGCUGGCUAACCGCACCACAUACAUGCCUCAAUUACUCCAAGUAACAAACAUAUGUAGCUAACUAGUUAAUCCACUAACUAGUUAGUGUAUGCAGACUAGAUAGCUCAUGUUAGCUAGUCAGCCCCCCAAAAAAUGCUGUCAUGAUGAGUAAAGACAAAGGCAGUAAACAAGGCCCCGGGCCAGUUCAAUGGCAGUAAACAAGGCCCCGGGCCAGUUCAAUGGCAGUAAACAAGGCCCCGGGCCAGUUCAAUGGCAGUAAACAAGGCCCCGGGCCAGUUCAAUGGCAGUAAACAAGGCCCCGGGCCAGUUCAAUGGCAGUAAACGAGGCCCCGGGCCAGUUCAAUGGCAGUAAACGAGGCCCCGGGCCAGUUCAAUGGAAGUAAACGAGGCCCCGGGCCAGUUCAAUGGCAGUAAACGAGGCCC
Oncorhynchus tshawytscha (Chinook salmon) is the source of this 1026-nucleotide long non-coding RNA. Lineage: Eukaryota; Metazoa; Chordata; Actinopteri; Salmoniformes; Salmonidae. The record is from Ensembl.